Molecule: ribosomal RNA, 468 nt
Filed under: uncultured bacterium
Lineage: Bacteria
Description: partial 16S ribosomal RNA
Rfam family: Bacterial small subunit ribosomal RNA
Source: RNAcentral
GACGAACGCUGGCGGCGUGCUUAACACAUGCAAGUCGAACGGAAAGGCCCUGCUUUUGUGGGGUGCUCGAGUGGCGAACGGGUGAGUAACACGUGAGUAACCUGCCCUUGACUUUGGGAUAACUUCAGGAAACUGGGGCUAAUACCGGAUAGGAGCUCCUGCUGCAUGGUGGGGGUUGGAAAGUUUCGGCGGUUGGGGAUGGAAUCGCGGCUUAUCAGCUUGUUGGUGGGGUAGUGGCUUACCAAGGUUUUGACGGGUAGCCGGCCUGGGAGGGUGACCGGCCACAUUGGGACUGAGAUACGGCCCAGACUCCUACGGGAGGCAGCAGUGGGGAAUAUUGCACAAUGGGCGGAAGCCUGAUGCAGCAACGCCGCGUGCGGGAUGACGGCCUUCGGGUUGUAAACCGCUUUCGCCUGUGACGAAGCGUGAGUGACGGUAAUGGGUAAAGAAGCACCGGCUAACUACGUG